GCCGAGGUAGCUCAGUGGUAGAGCAAUAGACUGAAAAUCUAUGUGUCGGCAGUCCGAUUCUGCCCCUCGGCACCA
Molecule: transfer RNA, 75 nt
Filed under: Candidatus Parcubacteria bacterium 4484_255
Lineage: Bacteria; Candidatus Parcubacteria
Description: tRNA-Phe
Rfam family: tRNA
About the family: Transfer RNA (tRNA) molecules are approximately 80 nucleotides in length.
Source: RNAcentral